This is a long non-coding RNA of Xenopus laevis (African clawed frog), 594 nucleotides long. RefSeq lists it as uncharacterized. The transcript has 2 exons. NCBI's taxonomy places the organism in Eukaryota, Metazoa, Chordata, Amphibia, Anura, Pipidae. The record is from RefSeq and is a predicted model, not a curated record.
CGCCUACGGGGGAGAGACGCCCGAGGACGGUGCUUAUCGGUGUUUAUACGCGAUAUUCUGAACUGCGCACGGCAGCCUGCGGUCACAAAUCUUUUACCUCAGGGCCUGGACUAUGCGUGACAAUGGGGGUAAGGAUAAACUUGUUCUAAAAUCGGAACAGCUCAUCCUGUGUCCUGUCUUUAUAUUUAUAAUUGUAAUGGUGAAAACCGAAGAUGUAUCCAUUGUGACUGCUCCUGUUGAGUGGCCCCUGCUAGAGAUGAAUUCCCAUAUUACAGGUGAGUUUUCCACUUCUCUGGGUGAGCCCUCAGUAAUGAGGGAGCUCCCUGGGUUGUGCCACCUAAAUUGUGGCGUAUAUUAUGUGUGGAUCAGGUUUUGCUGUGUUCAGCGACUUUGUCUGGCCUGUUUUCACAUGUGAGUCACUCUGCGUGUGUUACACUGAGAAUGUCAAGAAGUCAUUUCUCUUCAGCAGUGUAUCAUGGAAGACUACUAACACAAUACUUCCAGUUUCUGGAUGGAAGCUUUGUGGCAAGGGAUAUCACCCGGUGCCAUAUUUUCUGUGAGCACUCACCCAAUUCAGUGCAAAUUUUUCCCAGG